Taeniopygia guttata (zebra finch) is the source of this 318-nucleotide non-coding RNA. The record is from RefSeq and is a predicted model, not a curated record. NCBI's taxonomy places the organism in Eukaryota, Metazoa, Chordata, Aves, Passeriformes, Estrildidae.
CAACGAUUCACGACAAUUUAGUUUCGAACUGGGACGUGGGAACAAGGACAGACAGUGACACUGGGACAGAACAAUCCAGAGUGCAUCCAGAGGGAAAUUCCCACCUUCCCAAGGUGCAUCCUGGCCACAGGACAUGCCAGCUGCUGGUCCCAAGCUCUGCAGUGCUGGAGGAGGAGCACAGAGCAUGGAUCUGGGGCAGUGGGGACAGCUCCUCACUGCCACAUCACCACAGAGGAUCAGGCAGUGCUGCCUUUAAAUGGCUCCAGCACAUCAGGAUUAUUAACUUUGUUAUUACCACUAGUAAUAUGUUAUUAUUAA